UCUCAUUAUAGAUUGGUCACGAUGCUUGAGAUAGAUAAGAGAGCAUCUGCCUACAAUAACAUGUUACAAAUUGAUUACAACACUGGUAUUUGUGCUAAAGAAAUUACCAAAAUCAUUUCAUAAGGAUUCAAAAUUAAAAAUUGGGACAAAGAAAAUAGGCGUAGGAGGGGGUGAAAUUCCAAAUGAUGCACAAAUGCACCGAUGAACUUCCAGGUUUCCAAAUGGAAAGAAUCGGGUUUUAUACCGACAUGAAGACCAGACAAUCAUCAAUUGAUUGUACCUUCCUUGCCGUAUCCGUUGUAGGUUGAGGUGGCAUUUUUGUCAUUUUGUGGUUUCUACUUCUUGAGUUCUUGGUGCCAUGUUACAGUGAGUAAUGAAAGCGGGAAUCCUCCACACACCGGUUACUUAUGGAUCAUAAUCCUCUUAGAAAAUACUACUACUUCAAGUACAGCUCUAAGUUCCACUCACAACGUUAAAGUCUAUUUUUUUAAGUAAAAAAAAAUAAGAAAAAAAAAAUGGUUCGUGAUCUAUCAUGUUGACCCAAUGCUAAAAAUAGUUUUGUUUACUAUUAUUAUAUCAAAUAUUUAUGUGUUUGCAUUGUGCCCAAGUCUUAACCCUUUUGGUGGCAAGUGUGAUGAGAUACCUCAUGCUCGCAUGGGCUCUAAGAGAAGAGAUUAUAUUACCGUCUAAAAUAUAAAUAAUAAAUGAUAAAAAAUAGAAGGGAAA
This is a long non-coding RNA of Nematostella vectensis (starlet sea anemone), 726 nucleotides long. RefSeq lists it as uncharacterized. The record is from RefSeq and is a predicted model, not a curated record. NCBI's taxonomy places the organism in Eukaryota, Metazoa, Cnidaria, Anthozoa, Actiniaria, Edwardsiidae. The transcript has 2 exons.